GAUGAACGCUGGCGGCGUGCCUAAUACAUGCAAGUCGAGCGAACAGACGAGGAGCUUGCUCCUCUGACGUUAGCGGCGGACGGGUGAGUAACACGUGGAUAACCUACCUAUAAGACUGGGAUAACUUCGGAAAACCGGAGCUACUACCGGACAAUCAAUAGAACCGCAUGGUUCAAUAGUGAAAGACGGUUUUGCUGUCAUUUCUAGAUGGAUUUGGGCCGCAUUAGCUAGUUGGUAAGGUAACGGCUUAGCAAGGCAACGAUGCGUAGCCGACCUGAGAGGGUGGUCGGCCACACUGGAACUGAGACACGGUCCAGACGCCAACGGGAGGCAGCAGUAGGGAAUCUUGCGCAAUGGGCGAAAGCCUGACGCAGCAACGCCGCGUGAGUGAUGAAGGUCGUCGGAUCGUAAAGCUCUGUUAUGAGGGAAGAACAAAAGUAUAAGUAACUAUGCACGUCUUGACGGUACCUAGACAGAAAGGCACGGCUAACUACGGG
Molecule: ribosomal RNA, 497 nt
Filed under: uncultured bacterium
Lineage: Bacteria
Description: partial 16S ribosomal RNA
Rfam family: Bacterial small subunit ribosomal RNA
Source: RNAcentral